This 803-nucleotide unclassified non-coding RNA is filed under the name Hevea brasiliensis (rubber tree). The record is from RNAcentral. Lineage: Eukaryota; Viridiplantae; Streptophyta; Magnoliopsida; Malpighiales; Euphorbiaceae.
UCCAUGCCACUGUUUGGCUCUUGAUUCUCGAGUGGCUGUGUAGGAGGGAACAUAUGGGUGGCUUGGAGCAGCCCCAGCAACCCCAGGGAAAUCAACAACCACCGCAAGAUCUCCUCUUGAACUUUCGUUCGGGCCUUAAAGUCAUAACCGAAGGAUUGGACUCGCGCGAGCGAUCAGUUGCUCCCUCCCACUUUCCUUCUACAUCAAAUGUUACGGCUGAAAAUCAAGUGUUUUCACCUUCUAUGGUGGAUAAGAGCUUCAUGGGGAAUUAUUCUACAUCCUUCGUAUCUCCUUCGACGUCUGGGACAAACUACUUCUCUGCUACUUCAAGCGGAAUACAGCAUUACGUGGGUGGGAAUCAGAAUUUUCGGACUUCUGAGUUUGAGCUGACUGACUUAAUCUCUGCUACCACUACUUCAACUACAGACUCUACCACUGUUGGUUUGGAUUUCCCAUUUGGCAAUGUAGAAUUUGAUCCAAACUUCACAUUUGACAACUCAGGAUUCCUUCCCUAGUUGCAUGCACAGCUUCAGAAUCAAAUAAAGUGAAGAAAGCAGAAGCAUCACUUUGUCCUUACUAAAGAUAUAGAUAAGUUAAAUUUUUAGGCCAAGAAAAUUUUGCUUGGUCUUUUAAAUCUUUCCAUGUUAACCCCUUAAAGAAAUUAAUCGUCAAUGGGUGCCAGUUAUAGUACUUGUAUUUGUUUUCGUCCCUUAUGUACGUGAAUGGUGAAGGUCCUAUACAAAGAGUGUCAUUUGUAAUUCCUUAAUUGUCAAUUUUCUGUUGCACUGUAAUCUAUUUCUAAA